This 561-nucleotide RNase P RNA is filed under the name Terriglobia bacterium. RNAcentral describes it as "RNase P RNA component class A". It matches the Rfam family "Bacterial RNase P class A". Rfam says of the family: Ribonuclease P (RNase P) is a ubiquitous endoribonuclease, found in archaea, bacteria and eukarya as well as chloroplasts and mitochondria. Lineage: Bacteria; Pseudomonadati; Acidobacteriota; Terriglobia. The record is from RNAcentral.
CGGACAGGCCGGGUGAUCGCUGGGCUGGCCUUCGUAAGAAGACCGGCCGGGAGGAAAGUCCGGACACCGUAGUUCUGGUCGGGCACGUCGGGGACUAAAGUCCUCGGCGCAAACCGCCUCGGACUAAAGGGCAACGCGCCUGGUAACGCCAGGGGACCGAGUCUCUUCACGGUAAGCGCAAGCAAACCGCGCGGGUUCGGUCACGGAAAGUGCCACAGAAAAUAAACCGCCGGUGCAAUUCGCCUCGGUGACCGGCUGGAGGAAAACCUUCAGCGGGUCUGAUGAUGGCCUACGCAAGUGGGCUGAAACAGGCGAGAGCGCAAGGUAAGGGUGAAACGGUGGGGUAAGAGCCCACCGCGUCCCGAGCAAUCGGGACGGCACGGCAAACCCCGCGUGGUGCAAGGCCAAAUAGGAGGGGAGAGCUGGCCCAGCUCGUUAUGACCCUCGGGUAGGCUGCUGGAGUCCCGGUGCGAACCUGGACCUAGAGGAAUGAUCACUGCGGUGCGUGGUUGCCAUUAUCCACGAGCCGAACAGAAUCCGGCUUACAGGCCUGUCCGCCAU